This 484-nucleotide ribosomal RNA is filed under the name uncultured bacterium. Its description in RNAcentral is "partial 16S ribosomal RNA". It matches the Rfam family "Bacterial small subunit ribosomal RNA", at positions 29 to 523 of the family's 1533-position model. The record is from RNAcentral.
AGUGAACGCUGGCGGCGUGCUUAACACAUGCAAGUCGAACGAGAACGGGUUAUAGCUUGCUAUAAUUGUCAGCUAAGUGGCGCACGGGUGAGUAAUGUAUAGGUAAUAUGCCUCUUACUAAGGGAUAACAAAUGGAAACGUUUGCUAAUACCUUAUACUCCUUAUUAACAGAAGUUAAUAAGGGAAAGAUUUAUUGGUAAGAGAUUAGCCUGUAUUGUAUCAGUUAGUUGGUGAGGUAAUGGCUUACCAAGACUAUGAAACAUAACUGGUUUGAGAGGAUGAUCAGUCACACUGAAACUGAGACACGGUCCAGACUCCUACGGGAGGCAGCAGUGGGGAAUAUUGCACAAUGGACGAAAGUCUGAUGCAGCAACGCCGCGUGGAGGAUGACACAUUUCGGUGCGUAAACUCCUUUUAUAUGAGAAGAUAAUGACGGUAUUAUAUGAAUAAGCACCGGCUAACUCCGUGCCAGCAGCCGCCGUAA